Unclassified non-coding RNA from Macaca fascicularis (crab-eating macaque), 148 nucleotides. It matches the Rfam family "Metazoan signal recognition particle RNA". From Rfam's summary of the family: The signal recognition particle (SRP) is a universally conserved ribonucleoprotein. It is involved in the co-translational targeting of proteins to membranes. The record is from Ensembl. Lineage: Eukaryota; Metazoa; Chordata; Mammalia; Primates; Cercopithecidae.
GCCAGGCAUGGUGGCGCAUGCCUGUAAUCCCAGCCUCUCGGGAGGCUGAGGCAGGAGAAUCACUUUAACCCAGGAGGUGGAGGUUGCAGUGAGCUGAGAUCGAGCCACUGCACUCCAGCCAGGGCAACAGAGUGAGACUCUGUCUCAU